Molecule: transfer RNA, 73 nt
Filed under: bacterium
Lineage: Bacteria
Description: tRNA-Thr
Rfam family: tRNA
About the family: Transfer RNA (tRNA) molecules are approximately 80 nucleotides in length. Their secondary structure includes four short double-helical elements and three loops (D, anti-codon, and T loops).
Source: RNAcentral
GCCCGUAUAGCUCAACGGUAGUAGCAAGACUUUUGUAAAGUCGAGGUUGGGGGUUCAAGUCCUCUUGCGGGCU